Molecule: long non-coding RNA, 606 nt
Filed under: Homo sapiens (human)
Lineage: Eukaryota; Metazoa; Chordata; Mammalia; Primates; Hominidae
Description: non-protein coding lnc-PRKAG2-1:1
Source: RNAcentral
CAGUAAAAUGUUUUAAUGUAGGAAGCACUAAAGUCUUUGUUCCAACAAAAUUAACUCAGAGAACAAAUUAUUUUACAUAUGUAUACAGAUCAAUCAACAAAAGUACACAUUAUAACAAUUGCUAAACACUGUCCAUAAAGAAAACAUUUCAAAUGAGAAGCGCCAUCGCGGUUUUCUCCUUCUGGGUCACCCAGUGGAAUGAGGGCCCUCGCCAGGGGCUCUUCCCAGACGUCUCUUCACACCAACCGGCUUCCUUCUGAUGGCCCCAUUUUCCUUUAAAACCAGUUCUCAUCAAAUAGGGUGUUUUAUGCACCCUGGCAAAUGAUCAUUUUGACAAGGAUUAAAACUGUAAGCUAAACAGAUGACACAAAUGACAAUUGGGAAUAAUUUUUAGUGGGGACAGAGGCUAAAUACUACCCCCUCCCCUUUUCUACUUCUAACCAAUAUCUUGAGCAUUCAGUGGGACAAUACAGUCUUGCUGGGUCUCUUGAAAUCCUCUAGCAAGAAGCCAGCCAGGAGAAGACCCAGAAGUCCCACACCUGUGGGGCCAGGAUGGCUGCUUGGUUGCUAAACCCAGACAGGUGGGGCCAGGAUGCUGGGUGACUG